CUCGUUUUUCGGUCGUCUGUGUGGUUCUACCCUAGUAAGGGUACGACAUUCUAUUUUAUGACGGAUAUUUGUUUGCCCCGUUGAUACUCGUUAUCAUCGGUGCAGCCGAUUUGCGGGCUUAAUUCAUGUGCUGCAGUGGGCGUGGGCCUCGGCACUGCACUUGAAUUUUGCCGGCUCUCACGGAUGCCGUGCCCUUCGAGGAACUCGCGGGCCUCUGGUCCCCCGAUUCCCACGGGAAGUCCCUUGCUUUGGAUCAUUGCUCCGCCGCCCCGCUAUCUUGUUGCGGGUAUUGGGAUGUCGGCGCGGUGCGUGCGGGGCGUGCUCCUGUGCAAUUGAGAUGUUUGUCCGAUCGAAUGAGCGAUUGUUGCGCGUCGUUCCAUAGCGUCGUGGCGGCACUCGUUUAAGACGUGCUACCUGGUUGAUCCUGCCAGUAGUCA
RNAcentral lists this unclassified non-coding RNA (437 nucleotides) under Tetraria cf. secans JAS-2014. RNAcentral describes it as "partial external transcribed spacer 1". The record is from RNAcentral. Lineage: Eukaryota; Viridiplantae; Streptophyta; Magnoliopsida; Poales; Cyperaceae.